Long non-coding RNA from Passer domesticus (house sparrow), 1833 nucleotides. RefSeq lists it as uncharacterized. The record is from RefSeq and is a predicted model, not a curated record. The transcript is spliced from 7 exons. NCBI's taxonomy places the organism in Eukaryota, Metazoa, Chordata, Aves, Passeriformes, Passeridae.
GGAGGCGGGGGAGAGGCCGCGCCCCGCCCUGGGGCAGCGGGGCACCGCGGGACUGCGCGGCUGUGCGGGUCUCCCCUCCUCGGAGUUGUCCCACUCCCUCCCUGUAAUACUGGCCGAUUACACGGAGACUCUCGGAACCGCAAAAACUCCAGACUAGCCCCGGUCCGCGCCCCGCACUCUCCGCCCGCCGUGGCCCGAAGUGUCCGUGCCCGCGCUCCUGCAGCCGAGCGCGGGUCCCGGCGCAGCGGGGCUGUGGGCAGUGCCGCAGCGGCACCUCGGGCAUGAGGGGUGCCCGGGCUCACAGCGCUUGGUAGUGGCUGCGCCCUCGUUCAGUGCAUCCUCCGAGGACCUCCAGCUCUAGUGGGACGGAAAAUGUGCUCCAUGGAGGUGGUGUCCCUGAAGUCACUUGAGGUUUGGAAAUGCUUCUUCAGUGGUGACAGAGCACCUUUAGCAAACCGCUCAGCUGAGCUACAGAAAGGUUGGUCAGGGUUUUUCAAAUCAGCUGUACUAAUUUGGAGUAAGGAGUAACCUAGCUUUCUGAGUGGAAAGUUGAGGAACAGCUGUUGAACACUUUCUUCAAAGUAACAAUCAAUGGCAAGGCAAGUCUUGGAGAGGAUUCCUAGGUUCCAACUAUGAGCAUGAUAUGAAUACUUCACACAGGUAAGGCUUCAGCUGACUUCUGACAUGAAGGAAAUAUCUGGACCAAUUGAAACAACCAGAUGAAAGAAUAAAGAGACAGUGCCCUGCUCCAAAGGCCUCUGGCUGGGAAAGGCUGUAUUUCAAAGGGAUCCUACCAGUACCAAUGCCAUGGCAUUGGAGUAAUCGCUGCCCAAGUGGGAGUCAGACUGACAGAGGGAGGCUUAAGCUCCCCAAAGGAUGGCCCCAUCGUGUGACAGCGGAGGAAACUGCACCCACGUGGGAAUGCACCCGGGAGCACAAAGCCUGCUUUCUCAGCAGGUGGUCCUCUGCCAGUGAUUCAAUUUAUGCUAGCUAAAAAAAAAAAAUCCGGAGCAGUUCUUGGACAAAGACCUGGGAUUAGCAAGUGAAAGAUAGCCUUCCUUUUAACCCCUUUUGCCACUUCUACACGAAACGCUGCCUUGUGCCCCAGAACUCCACUGCCUUGCAUGGAAGUGGGGGACUGCGGGGUAAGUGGCAGCGCACAGGGUGUUUGAAAUAAAGGUUUAAUUGUGGCAGGAUUUCAGAUUCUCAUUGAUUCAAGCGCCGUGCCCUUUUGACAGUGGGGGUUUGUUAAUUCCAUCACCCCUGUACAUCUAAGUCAGUUACACAUUUUCAUUUCCAAACCAAGCAGUUAAAAUUGGUAACAAUUUAAAAGUUAGUUUUAAUGAAAUAAAACUGACCUCAACUCAACUAGCUCACCUUCUCUGGCUAGUGUUAUUUACUGUGGUGUGCACUCAGAAGCUGUUGAGCUGUGUGUGGCUUGCACCAUAUGGCUGCAUCUGGGGAGCCUUGACACUCACACGCCAGAGAUGCUACCUCACUUCCUUCCUCCCUCACUUCCUUCCUCCCCCGCUCCAAACCCAGCUUUUCUUCUGCUGUUCUUUCCACAUCCUCUCCCAGUGCUCAAAUCCUUCCUUCGUUUUCCAGUGUAUUAACUGUCUCCACCCUGGAGACCUCCCCUCUUUGGUGCCUCUUUGGAUGCCUCCAGCUCCUGCUCGUGUCCCUUCUGGGACCUAUGUCACUGUCCCCCUUUCUGGUGCGGCAGAAGUAACUCCCAUUCCCACUGCCGGCCCACACAAAAUAAAAUACAGAAGUGGCCCAGUGGUGCACAGGAUCCAGCUUGGAGAGAGUUAACUUGCUUCAGCUUAUAUGCCA